GACGAACGCUGGCGGCGUGCUUAACACAUGCAAGUCGAACGGGAAGUCCCUGCUUGCAGGGUCCUCGAUUGGUGAACGGGUGAGUAACACGUGUGUGAUCUGCCCUACACUUCGGGAUAGGCCUGGGUAACUGGGACUAAUACCGGAUCGGAGCCAUUUUUAGUGUGGUUGUUGGCAAGUUUUUUCGGUGUAUGGUGAGCUUGCGGCCUAUCAGCUUGUUGGUGGGGUAAUGGGUAACGGAGGCGGCGGCGGGUAGCCGGCCUGGGGGGGUGGCCGGCAACAGUGGGACUGAGACACGGCCCAGGCCCAGACGGGAGGCAGAAGUGGGAAAUAUUGAAAAAUGGGAGCAGGCCUGAUGCAGAGACACCGCGGGGGGGAGGGCGGUCUUGGGGUUGGAGACGCCAUUCGCUAGGGACGAGGCUGUUUGUGACGGUACCUAGAGAAGAAGCACCGGCUAACUCCGUG
This 465-nucleotide ribosomal RNA is filed under the name uncultured bacterium. RNAcentral's name for it is "partial 16S ribosomal RNA". It matches the Rfam family "Bacterial small subunit ribosomal RNA", at positions 28 to 507 of the family's 1533-position model. The record is from RNAcentral.